This 499-nucleotide ribosomal RNA is filed under the name Oppiella nova. RNAcentral's name for it is "partial 28S ribosomal RNA". The record is from RNAcentral. Lineage: Eukaryota; Metazoa; Arthropoda; Arachnida; Sarcoptiformes; Oppiidae.
AAAGAACUUUGAAGAGAGAGUUCAAUAGGACGUGAAACCGUUUGUAGGUAAACAGGUGGAACCACGAAGUUUGCUGGGAAGAGGAUUCAACUGUUCUGGUGCGAGGCAGUUGUCGGUGUCGUAUUCGGUUCUCUUUGGAGGGCAGGCACCGGUGACACUAACGCUUCUGCCAGGCGGUGCAUUUCUUCACUCCCAUGCUAAAGCCAUGACCGAUUAGAGGACUAGUGCGUCCGUAUGCGAUGGUCUCAGGAAGGUAGCUGGGUGCGUCUUCGGAUGUAUGCUAGUGUUAUAGCCUGUGGCCGGGUUAUUGCCAAGCACUUAGUGUACUGAUCGGCUCAAUUUCUCCACUUAUGUGGGGUUUGCAGUAAUGGGUGCGUACAGUUCAGUGGUCGAGAGUGUGUCUGUUUGGUGGCUCUUUCUGUGCUUUCGUACGGAAAGACUGUCUUACUGAUGGCUCUAUGCUGGCUGCAGUAUCUGUGCGCAUCUGAGCAAUCGAUGG